RNAcentral lists this ribosomal RNA (587 nucleotides) under Ceriporiopsis sp. RNAcentral describes it as "partial large subunit ribosomal RNA". It matches the Rfam family "Eukaryotic large subunit ribosomal RNA", at positions 70 to 668 of the family's 3401-position model. Lineage: Eukaryota; Fungi; Basidiomycota; Agaricomycetes; Polyporales; Meruliaceae. The record is from RNAcentral.
AAGAAAUUCCCUAGUACUGCGAGUGAGCGGGAACAGCUCAAUUUAGAAUCUGGCGGCUUUGGACGUCCAAGUGGAAGGGAAAAAGUGUUUUCCGCGUGGGACCGUGUAUAAGUCUCUGGGAAUAGAGCGUCAUAAAGGGGGAGAAUCCCGUCUUUGACACGGACUACCAAUGCUUUGUGAUACACUCUCAAAGAGUCGAGUUGUUUGGGAAUGCAGCUCAAAAUGGGUGGUAAAUUCCAUCUAAAGCUAAAUAUUGGCGAGAGACCGAUAGCGAACAAGUACCGUGAGGGAAAGAUGAAAAGCACUUUGGAAAGAGAGUUAAACAGUACGUGAAAUUGCUGAAAGGGAAACGCUUGAAGUCCUUCGCGUUAGCUAGAACUCAACCAGGCUUGCUUGGGGUAUUUUCUAGUUAACGGGCCACCAUCAGUUUUGACCGCAGGAAAAGGGCCAGGGAAAUGUGCCAUCUUCGGAUGUGUUAUAGUCUCUGGACGUAUACUGUGAUUGGGACUGAGGACCGCACCACGCGCAAGCUGUGCUUAGGAUGCUGGCGUAAUGGCUUUAAACGACCCGUCUUGAAACACGGACCA